This 783-nucleotide ribosomal RNA is filed under the name Beijerinckia sp. BAB-5791. Its description in RNAcentral is "bacterial SSU rRNA". It matches the Rfam family "Bacterial small subunit ribosomal RNA", at positions 24 to 853 of the family's 1533-position model. The record is from RNAcentral. Lineage: Bacteria; Pseudomonadati; Pseudomonadota; Alphaproteobacteria; Hyphomicrobiales; Beijerinckiaceae.
UCAGAAACGAAACGCUGGCGGCAGGCUUAACACAUGCAAGUCGAACGCCCCUUACGGGGAGUGGCAGACGGGUGAGUAACGCGUGGGAACAUACCCUUUCCUGCGGAAUAGCUCCGGGAAACUGGAAUUAAUACCGCAUACGCCCUACGGGGGAAAGAUUUAUCGGGGAAGGAUUGGCCCGCGUUGGAUUAGCUAGUUGGUGGGGUAAAGGCCUACCAAGGCGACGAUCCAUAGCUGGUCUGAGAGGAUGAUCAGCCACAUUGGGACUGAGACACGGCCCAAACUCCUACGGGAGGCAGCAGUGGGGAAUAUUGGACAAUGGGCGCAAGCCUGAUCCAGCCAUGCCGCGUGAGUGAUGAAGGCCUUAGGGUUGUAAAGCUCUUUCACCGAUGAAGAUAAUGACGGUAGUCGGAGAAGAAGCCCCGGCUAACUUCGUGCCAGCAGCCGCGGUAAUACGAAGGGGGCUAGCGUUGUUCGGAAUUACUGGGCGUAAAGCGCACGUAGGCGGAUAUUUAAGUCAGGGGUGAAAUCCCGCAGCUCAACUGCGGAACUGCCUUUGAUACUGGGUAUCUUGAGUAUGGAAGAGGUAAGUGGAAUUCCGAGUGUAGAGGUGAAAUUCGUAGAUAUUCGGAGGAACACCAGUGGCGAAGGCGGCUUACUGGUCCAUUACUGACGCUGAGGUGCGAAAGCGUGGGGAGCAAACAGGAUUAGAUACCCUGGUAGUCCACGCCGUAAACGAAGAGAUGUUAGCCGUCGGGCAGUAUACUGUUCGGUGGCGCAGCU